This 2364-nucleotide ribosomal RNA is filed under the name Triticum aestivum (bread wheat). RNAcentral describes it as "partial small subunit ribosomal RNA". Lineage: Eukaryota; Viridiplantae; Streptophyta; Magnoliopsida; Poales; Poaceae. The record is from RNAcentral.
AUGGCGGCGGCCGCAACCCCUUCGCCGGCGACGGCGCUCCUACCGGCGGACGACCCCGGGCACGACGCCGACAAGGAGGAGGAGGGGGAGUGCCGCAUCUGCCGCCUCCCCGCCGAGGCGGACCGCCCCCUGCACCGUCCCUGCGGCUGCCGCGGCAGCAUGAGGUUCGUCCACGACGACUGCCAGCUCCAGUGGAUCGCCCGCCGCCGCAAACUCCCCCGCUGCGAGGUGUGCAGACGCCGCAUCUCCACCCGGCCUCUCUAUGCCGGGGACGCCCCCGCGAGGCUGCCCGUUUCCGAGCUCAUGGCGGGUCUGCCCACACUGCUCAUCGGGCUGCUGCUCCCCGUCUUCUUCGCCGUCUGCGUCGUCCGGGAGUUUGUCGUUCCACUCACCACCCGCUGGACGUGGCGCCUCGCGCUCGCCACCAACUUUGCUCAAGCGCGCCAUCUGCUCUCCCUGCGCCUAUCCAUGGCCUCAUGGACCUGCAUCCCUGCUUCAGCUGCAUUCUGCUUGCAGUUUGCACGCUUGGUUGUGCCAUUUGCUGUAGCUCCAUUUGCGCGCUGGGUCGCACGUCUGCUGGCUCAGAUGCAAAGCCUGGAGCUUGGGUUAUUCGAGAGAUUGCAAUUCCUUGCGAUGUCUGUUGUCGAAGUUUCCUUGGUGGUGGUAAUAGUUGACAUGGGCCUUGCUUGUUUUCUUUGUUUUCUCCCAUUCUCUCUGGGAAGGAUAAUCCUUUGGUCGAGAUCGUGUCUUGAUGUUGCCAAUGAGGAUGAAAUCAAUUGUUACACUUCAACAGCUUCCACCCUUCUAAGUGGAUAUGGACUUAUGUUGAAGGUGGGUGCAACUUUUGCCGGGGCGCAUACUUUGUAUCUCUACUUGAGAGGCAAGCGCCUUGUGAUUGCAAUUUUCUGUAGAAGUCUGCAUGCUAUAUUCUUCAGAGGGAACGCAAAUUCAACCACUCUUGCCAAUGAAUCUCUUAAUAUGCUAAACAAUGGGAUAAUAGACCCAUUGUUCUUCGGCUGGUCGCUUGAUCUCUGCACUACGGAAUUGUUUGGUGUAACAAUGUCUCAGAGGUUCAAAUUGCUGAUUGCUUCAUCUUUUGCUUCUGCUGCCCUUCAUUGGCUUAUCGGAAUCUCCUUUUUGAAUCUACGCCUCAGAUUAUCAAGAAUCCUUCGCAAGAUAUUGGGGCCAGGAGUGGCCACUCCCUUUCUCGGCGGUACUGUUUCCCAACCAUUCUACACAUUUUAUCUCAAGAGGCUUGUUGUUCUUUUUCUCGAAACUAUCUUUAUUGUACUGGUCAUUUCUGUUCCUAUCAAAAUUGUUGAUCUAUUGGCACCAAUGGUGUUCCCUCUAGAAAUCCCCUACUUCGAUCAUCCUGCUAGGGGCACAUCAGUUUGGCAAGGGCCACUAAACUUUACAGAGUCACUUUCUGGUGUUAUUCAUAUGAGGUAUCUCAUUGGAAAAAUAGUCGUGUACCUUGCGACUCUGGUGGAGUGGGUAAUGGGGUAUUGGUUUGUUACUACUGGACAACCUCUUGGGAAAAAUGUUGCGGCAAAAGACCAGUAUGGUAGCAGCAAUGAUGCUAAGGAUGAUUGGAGACUUGCUGCUGUUCGAACAAUGCCGCGAGCGGUCCUAGCAUGGUUGACUGCUGUGAUAUUGAAUUCUGCUGUGCUUUUGCUUCCAGUCUCAGUUGGGCAUGCAUUGCUGUUUGCCGUCCCUCAGCUGCCAGUUGGACUGAAGUCCAACGAUCUGUUUGCUAUCACUGUUGGACUCUGCAUCAUAUCAACCAUCAUCGCCGCCUGUAGAGAUUUAUCUACCCGCGUGAUUUCGGGGAAAACACGCCUUCUAGCUUUGCAAAGGCAUCUGCUUGUCUGCAUAUGGAGCGUCGUCAUUCCACUCCUGACCGGUUUGCUGGUCGAUCUGUCAAUGAUAUCGCCCUUCUUCGUCGGUUCUGACGAUGAAUUCCCAGCCACGAGCUUUUUCCGCACUUGGCUCCUGGGGUGCAUCUUUAAGCAACUAUGGAUCAAGUGCUUCGUUGACAAAAGGCGGAAGGCAAAACUCAACCGGGCGAAGGAAGAUCUCUCCUCGGAGCUCAGGCCAAUGUGGUGGUUCUUUCAGGACGUAUGCGUGCCCGUCGUCGCUACGCUGCUCGCCGCCCUGGGUGUCCCCUACGUUCUCGCCAGGGGCGUCUUCCCUGGACUGGGCUACCCCGCCAACAUGAACUCAACGGCCUACCGCUUUGCGUGGUCGGGCAGCCUCGGUGUCUGCACGCUCUGCUGGCUGACCAAGGCGCUGUGUGUCAUGCUCCAUGAUUCUAUCAAGGACGAUCGGUACGCCGUCGGCCGAAGGCUGGAAGACGUUGAAUGA